Parus major (Great Tit) is the source of this 973-nucleotide long non-coding RNA. Lineage: Eukaryota; Metazoa; Chordata; Aves; Passeriformes; Paridae. The record is from Ensembl.
AAUUCCCCAGGAAUUGGGAGCAAAUCCCAAAAAUCCUUUAUUGGCAGUGGGGGGGGAUUGCGACGUUCUGGGGGGGGCCGGGGGAUCCCCCCGGGGAAUCUGGGGAUCACAGAGAGACCUCCCGGGGCUGGGAACAGCGGGAUCCCAAUGGAUCCCAACGGAUCCCAAUGGAUCCCCGGGGAUCUGCCCCAGAUGGGGGCGCUCGGGGGGCUCCUCUGUGUGAGUGGGCAGCUGGAUCUGGGAUCUGCACCUGGAGAUCUGCCAGAAUCAGAUCCUGGGAUCUGGGAUCUGCACCUGGAGAACCAGAAUCUGAUCCUGGGAUCUGCACCUGGAGCAGAGCUGGGAUCAGAUCCCGGGAUCUGGGAUCUGCACCUGGAACAGAACCAGAAUCGGAUCCCGGGAUCUGGGAUCUGCACCUGGAGCAGAGCUGAACCAAUCAGAUCCCGGGAUCUGGGAUCUGCACCUGGAACAGAACCAGAAUCCGAUUCCAGGAUCUGGGAUCUGUAUUGGGAACAGAACUGGAAUCUGAUCCUGGGAUCUGCACCGGGAGCAGAACCAGAAUCAGAUCCCGGGAUCUGGGAUCCACACUGGGAGCAGUUGGGGACAGGUGGGAUCCCCCUGACCCGGAUCCCACAGGAGAUCCCCCUGCUCCAGAGCCCCCUUAGGAUGAGAGAGGGAUCCCUGCUCCAGAAUUCUGCCGGAAUUCCCUUCCCGAGGGAGGUGCAGGAGGGAUCCCCUGAUCCCAGAUCCCACAGGAGGGAUCACCCGGGUCCCAGAUCCCUCAGGAGCCGCAGGUGGGAUCCCCUGAUCCGGAUCCCAGACCCCACAGGUGGGGAUCCCCUGAUCCCAGAUCCCACAGGAGGAGCAGGUGGAACCCUCUGAUCCCAGAUCCCUCAGGAGCCGCAGGUGGGAUCCCCUGAUCUGGAUCCCAGAUCCCACAGGAGGGAUCCCCUGAUCUGGAUCCCAGAUCCCA